AACCUGCCCUUUAGAGGGGGAUAACGUUUGGAAACGAACGCUAAUACCGCAUAACAUAGUAUCAUCACAUGGUGAAGCUAUCAAAGGAGAAAUCCGCUAAAGGAUGGGCUCGCGUCCGAUUAGGUAGUUGGUGAGGUAACGGCUCACCAAGCCGACGAUCGGUAGCCGGACUGAGAGGUUGACCGGCCACAUUGGGACUGAGACACGGCCCAGACUCCUACGGGAGGCAGCAGUGGGGGAUAUUGCACAAUGGAGGAAACUCUGAUGCAGCGACGCCGCGUGAGGGAAGAAGGUCUUCGGAUUGUAAACCUUUGUCUUCAGGGACGAGUAGAUGACGGUACCUGAGGAGGAAGCCACGGCUAACUACGUGCCAGCAGCCGCGGUAAUACGUAGGUGGCGAGCGUUGUCCGGAUUUACUGGGUGUAAAGGGUGCGUAGGCGGGGAAAUAAGU
RNAcentral lists this ribosomal RNA (451 nucleotides) under uncultured bacterium. RNAcentral describes it as "bacterial SSU rRNA". It matches the Rfam family "Bacterial small subunit ribosomal RNA", at positions 123 to 588 of the family's 1533-position model. The record is from RNAcentral.